Long non-coding RNA from Ailuropoda melanoleuca (giant panda), 1253 nucleotides. RefSeq lists it as uncharacterized. Lineage: Eukaryota; Metazoa; Chordata; Mammalia; Carnivora; Ursidae. The record is from RefSeq and is a predicted model, not a curated record. The transcript is spliced from 3 exons.
GACAAUUUACAUCCCUGGACAUGAAACCUGCAAGCACUUCAAUCUUGCCUUUCUGACCAGCUCAAGAUGUAGGCAGUUGUCGGAAGAACUGAAUGAGGCUGGAGGCCCCGGGACCCCAUGACUCACGUAACUAAGACUCUGAGGCCAUGCCCUGUUUUCCAGAAUCCACAUUCAAAAUAUGGGAUGAGGUAGAAAUGAAGGGAAUGAUCAACGGUGUGUGUGAAGUUCUACCGCCGUGCUGUCGAAUCUUAUCUCCUACUUAAAAAAACAAUAAUACUAGGCACCGUUUCUAUGACACUGCUGGAGGGCUCAUUUUUGUCGAAAUUAUAGCCCCAGAGCUGAUGGAUGCUGGCCUGUUUGCAGAUGUGGAGAACGGAAUGAAAUCGCACAGAUAAGAAUGCAGUUUUGAAUGUCAGGAAGAUGUUAAAUCUUACCAGUGGCAUUCACUCCAGAGAGGCAUUCAGAGAGCCUUGAACUUCUCUGAAGACAACCCUUGCUUUAAUGUCUCUUAGUGGUUGGGGUACAAGGGUGCACUUCUUUACGUGCUUUGUCAACUGUGAAGCCCCUAAAAGUAUGUCCGUGAAGUAACACAUCAAGGUGACCAGAGACUUACGUGCCUGACCAUGGGUGUUUCGAAGUUUGGUUUUAAAAGCUGUGUAGUGGCUACUCCUGUUUAUGAACCUAUAUCUGUUGUAGAGACCAAGGCUGACCAAAGGGCUACUCCUGAAACCGAGAAUAUGGCAAGUGAGUGUUUGUGUGCAAAGUCCACAGUAAUGCCUUUGGGGAACAGUGUUCUUCCGAGAUGAUGGGCUCUGAGCUCCUGGCCUUAGGAAUUACUAUAGAUGUGCUUCUGGAAGUCAUCAGCCCAUUUUCUGCUGUCCUGUGAAAGGCAGACUGGCAAACAGACUGAAAGCUGACCGUGGUCUGGAAGAACAUGGCGCUAGGAACAGCACCCCUCGUGGGGACUGCGUCCGUCUAUACCGAAGGCACUGCUGCUUUGGGGGGUGAUGCUGGGAGUCUGGAGUUCUCCAGUAGCUGCUCUAUAGUGGAAUCUGACAUCUUCCUGGGAGGAAGAACAAGACCAGUAUGACUUGACUCCAUUUUCAUACCGGAACAGAAGACUCAGAUGGUUGAAGUGACCAACAUGACAGAGGCUCACCACAGUUGAGUGGGAAUUCAGCAUUCUUCCUUCCUUUUAUUAGCCAUGUUAUUACCAUUGUGAAGUAAAGGGAUUGGUGGGUAUUUGUUUCUCA